CGUGUAGGCGGAUUGGUAAGUCUGACGUGGAAUCCCUCGGCUCAACCGAGGAAUUGCGUUGGAAACUGCCUGUCUUGAGUGUGGGAGAGGAGAGCGGAACUUCUGGUGGAGCGGUGAAAUGCGUAGAUAUCAGGAGGAACGCCGGUGGCGAAAGCGGCUCUCUGGCCCACCACUGACGCUGAGGCGCGAAAGCCAGGGGAGCGAACAGGAUUAGAUACCCUGGUAGUCC
RNAcentral lists this ribosomal RNA (229 nucleotides) under uncultured bacterium. RNAcentral's name for it is "partial 16S ribosomal RNA". It matches the Rfam family "Bacterial small subunit ribosomal RNA", at positions 568 to 796 of the family's 1533-position model. The record is from RNAcentral.